Dreissena polymorpha is the source of this 368-nucleotide long non-coding RNA. RefSeq lists it as uncharacterized. NCBI's taxonomy places the organism in Eukaryota, Metazoa, Mollusca, Bivalvia, Myida, Dreissenidae. The transcript has 3 exons. The record is from RefSeq and is a predicted model, not a curated record.
GUGAAUCUGAGGAGCUUCAAAUGCUUUUAUUUGUCGGUAAAUCAAGACUGUUUUAUCAUGGCGUUUCAAACAGCUUUGUUUUCAUUUAUCGGACUUAUUUACUUUAGCGUUCAAAGCGAGGACAUAUUUAAUUACGCAUCCAUAAAAACUGAUUGGAAAACCGCACAAGACAGCUGUAUAAAGGACAAUCGUAUUCUGGUGUCGGAUAUCCCUGGCCACCUUCCGCAACUCAAGCCUGGGGACGUCAUCUGGACUAACUCCAAAUUGACGUGGUUCGAAUAUCCCCAAGGGAAUUUCCAGUAUUUUGUGUUUGGCUAUUCUUCUUCAAACUCUAUCGGGAAAAACUGCAUCUGCCACGUUCGCAUAGG